This 187-nucleotide ribosomal RNA is filed under the name Candidatus Bathyarchaeota archaeon. Its description in RNAcentral is "partial 23S ribosomal RNA". It matches the Rfam family "Archaeal large subunit ribosomal RNA", at positions 2691 to 2877 of the family's 2987-position model. The record is from RNAcentral. Lineage: Archaea; Thermoproteati; Candidatus Bathyarchaeota.
UGAGACAGGUCGGACUUUAUCUGCUGGGAGUGUUGGUUGCCUGAGGGGAAAGGGUUCCCAGUACGAGAGGAACGGAACGUUGUAGCCCAUAGUCUACCGGUUGUCCGACAGGGCACUGCCGGGCAGCCACGCUGUCGCGGAUAAGAGCUGAAAGCAUCUAAGCUCGAAGCCGCUCCCGAAAAUAGGC